This 1212-nucleotide ribosomal RNA is filed under the name Photobacterium rosenbergii. RNAcentral describes it as "bacterial SSU rRNA". It matches the Rfam family "Bacterial small subunit ribosomal RNA". The record is from RNAcentral. Lineage: Bacteria; Pseudomonadati; Pseudomonadota; Gammaproteobacteria; Vibrionales; Vibrionaceae.
CCAUUANGNGGGUACGUUNACUAGCGAACGAUCCUAGCUGNNNAAAGGAAUGAUCAANCNACNUGGACUGAGACACGUCNAGACUCUUACGGGGAGCAGCAAGUGGGGAUNUGCCCAAUGGGGAAACCUGAUGCAGCCAUGCCGGGUGGUUGAAGAAGCCUUCGGGUUGUAAAGCACUUUCAGUCGUGAGGAAGGCGGCUAAGUUAAUAGCUUAGUUUUUUGACGUUAGCGACAGAAGAAGCACCGGCUAACUCCGUGCCAGCAGCCGCGGUAAUACGGAGGGUGCGAGCGUUAAUCGGAAUUACUGGGCGUAAAGCGCAUGCAGGCGGUCUGUUAAGCCAGAUGUGAAAGCCCGGGGCUCAACCUCGGAAUCGCAUUUGGAACUGGCAGGCUAGAGUCUUGUAGAGGGGGGUAGAAUUUCAGGUGUAGCGGUGAAAUGCGUAGAGAUCUGAAGGAAUACCGGUGGCGAAGGCGGCCCCCUGGACAAAGACUGACGCUCAGAUGCGAAAGCGUGGGGAGCAAACAGGAUUAGAUACCCUGGUAGUCCACGCCGUAAACGAUGUCUACUUGGAGGUUGGUGCCUUGAGCACUGGCUUUCGGAGCUAACGCGUUAAGUAGACCGCCUGGGGAGUACGGUCGCAAGAUUAAAACUCAAAUGAAUUGACGGGGGCCCGCACAAGCGGUGGAGCAUGUGGUUUAAUUCGAUGCAACGCGAAGAACCUUACCUACUCUUGACAUCCAGCGAAUCCUUUAGAGAUAGAGGAGUGCCUUCGGGAACGCUGAGACAGGUGCUGCAUGGCUGUCGUCAGCUCGUGUUGUGAAAUGUUGGGUUAAGUCCCGCAACGAGCGCAACCCUUAUCCUUGUUUGCCAGCACUUCGGGUGGGAACUCCAGGGAGACUGCCGGUGAUAAACCGGAGGAAGGUGGGGACGACGUCAAGUCAUCAUGGCCCUUACGAGUAGGGCUACACACGUGCUACAAUGGCGUAUACAGAGGGCGGCCAACUUGCGAGAGUGAGCGAAUCCCAGAAAGUACGUCGUAGUCCGGAUUGGAGUCUGCAACUCGACUCCAUGAAGUCGGAAUCGCUAGUAAUCGUGGAUCAGAAUGCCACGGUGAAUACGUUCCCGGGCCUUGUACACACCGCCCGUCACACCAUGGGAGUGGGCUGCACCAGAAGUAGUUAGCUUAACUUCGGGAGGCGUUUAUACCCGUU